AAGAAGGUUCUGUGUGUUUGGGUUCUUGCCCCAAGCUCUCUCCCUCCAUAUUACAUCCACUUCAUCAAAUGUCAAUCCUUUGGUCUCGGGAACAUACAGAAGCACAAAGAAAAAUGCAACCACAGCUAUACCAGCAAGAAUCAAGAAACUAGAACCAAUGCCUAUACCCUCAGCAAUUGAAAGGAAGCUCUCUGACACAAUCAAGUUUGAAAUCCAACACACUACUGCUGCCAUGCCCCCACAGACACCUCUAUAUUCUUCUGGAUAUAUCUCUGAGUUCACAGUCCAUGGCACAGGUCCCAUUCCUGGUGAAAAAAACAAAAU
RNAcentral lists this long non-coding RNA (324 nucleotides) under Lotus japonicus. Its description in RNAcentral is "long non-coding RNA (LJAP_LNC001174)". Lineage: Eukaryota; Viridiplantae; Streptophyta; Magnoliopsida; Fabales; Fabaceae. The record is from RNAcentral.